UGAAAUUCGCCUUCAUGAAGCUGGAAUUGCUAGUAAUGGCAGGUCAGCAUACUGCCGUGAAUACGUUCCCGGGCCUUGUACACACCGCCCGUCACACCAUGAGAGUUUGUAACACCCAAAGCCGGUGGGGUAACCUUUUGGAGCCAGCCGUCUAAGGUGGGACAGAUGAUUGGGGUGAAGUCGUAACAAGGUAUC
This 195-nucleotide ribosomal RNA is filed under the name uncultured bacterium. RNAcentral's name for it is "partial 16S ribosomal RNA". It matches the Rfam family "Bacterial small subunit ribosomal RNA", at positions 1306 to 1500 of the family's 1533-position model. The record is from RNAcentral.